GCCUCCAGUAGCCCAGCUGCCAUCACCACCCAUGGCUCUUCUUCCUCCUCUGCCCUGUUUGCUUCAGCAGAGGGCAGAGUGGGCCUCAGAAAGUGUGCGUCAAUGGUGAAGACGGGUUCACACCGGUCUGGGCUGACUCAGCCCGUGGUAACUUUCUGUAGACGGGGAGGCUACAGCUGAGGGGCCAGGCUCUGCCCGCCUCCCUGCAGAGCUGGGCUCCAGGCAGGAGCCUGGGGACACAACCUGCUGGCGACAUGCAGGAUGGCUUUUCCCUCACCCUCCUGCAGACCGCUCCCUGCAUUCAUCCGGAACCCAGCCCACAUUCUCGGUGUGUAACCCGAGACAGACCGACAGACAGGGCCUGACCCUUGACCUCCUCAGCGUCCAUUAUCAUCUGUCAUUAUCCUCAUCGCUAUCAGCCUGAGGUCAGGCCCUUUAACGAUGACGCUCACGUGAGGUUGGGGUCAAGGAGAAGUGUGGCCAGCCCUGAGAGAAAGGCACUUCAGCCACGCUCGCCGAGGGAGCCGCACACUCAGGGCCCCCACACCGAUCUGUGAGCAAACUGGGUCGGUGUAUCCCCAGGCCCAGCCUGGGGAGGAGCCCUGCUGGGAGGAGCCCUGGUCUGUUGGGAAGCUGCCCCGGAGCAUCCGUGGCGGGCGUCUGCUGGGGUCCUGACGUCUGCGAGAGCGAGGACGUGCCCCGUUUUGAUCUUGCGUUGGAAGAGGGAGGGCGUGGUGAACCCCGUGUGCAGCGUGGUCAGCACUCGGGGCCUGGUGUGGUGUCCGGCAAUGGCGGGGGUGCGGGUGCUGGCAGGGGACGUGCGGGAGCCUCUCUGGGGGGGCAGCACAGGAGCUAGUCCUGGAUGGGGCUGUAGGGAGAGAGUUCCAGAAACGCAGGUGGGGCCGGGCCUGGUGCACUAGGACAGGGAGGGGACCAUGCGUGGUGGGCGCAGAGGGGGGCCCACAGGUCCCGUCCCCGAGCUCGGGUUCGAGGAGAAGCCAGCGCGCCUCCCGGCACUCCCUUCCCACGUGGACACGUCCAGGGUGGAAGCCACGCCGCUCUCCCGAAGUCCCUUGCAGCUGCCCUGCCCCCACGUGACCCGCGUCCGCCAACCAGAAGCCUCCCGUGAGCCUCCGCGCGGGAAGAGAGCCGGGGAGGAAGAUGGCGCCGGGGUCUAUGAGGCCGAGUAGCCUGAGGGGACGGUGUCCCCGGCGGGCGGGGGCCGAACGGCUGCCUGGGGUCCGUGGAGGAGCCCGUGCACGCGGCCCCCGAGUCUCUGCCCACGACGGGCCGGGAGCAUCCCGACGUCCCCAGGGGCCGCCCAGGGCCACCUCCCAGGCGCGAGUUGAAAUGCUCGGGCUCAGACCCGCCCGCGCCGCCUGCGUCCCAGGCCACGUGUCCCCCAGUUGCAGGGGCCGCGUGUGCGCCUUGACCUCUGGGAGCACCUGCCCUGCGCCGUGCCCGGUCCCGCUGUCGGCGCUCCUGUCGCUACAGAUUCUUCUCCAGAAUUCCCUCUGGGUGAUGAAACGUGUCUCCAUGGAAACACCUCGAGGGUGGAUUACCUGGGCUCUUUUAAAUUGCACUGAAAAGAACGUGGCAGGUGCAGAAUUGCCUUCCAGAACCUUCCAGCUCAGCCUGGCCAGCAGCUGGAAGCAGCUGAGGGAGUGACCCAGCCAGGCCAGGUGGAGCAGAGAGCCACCAGCAGGGCCCCGCCCGAAAUCUGACCCCAGGACUGUGGGGAGUCAGGAACCACUGACAUUUGAAGCCACAACCCUUUUGGAAGGUCUGUCCUGCAAGAAGAGAUAACCGACUCAGAGGGGGCACAGGCUGACUGGCCUGGAGAGUCACCAGCAGGGAGGAGCUCUCAGGUUAGAAUGAAGGGAGCAGGAGCACAUCCCAAUUCUUGCUCUGUCUGCAAUGACCAAGGCCUCCCUAGUUUCGUGGUUUGCCAUAUAAUUGGCAGAACGUCAUGUGAGUUCAAGGUGUACAAGGUGAUUAUUUGGAGCAAGCAUACACUGCAGAACGAUGACACUUGGGAUAGUGAACACCGUCAUCAUGUCCCAUGAUCACUGGCGGCUUUUCUUACCACUCAGGGCUUCCCCUCCGCAGCCUUCAAGCAGAAUGCUGGAACUUCUCUAGAAACCUGGGUUGCUACAAAGGCUAUCUCGCCUUUGGUCUGAGAUGGGUGGUCUGCCCAUGUCAGCAUUAUCCAGCCGCCCCCAGACUGCAGCCGAGAGGGACCAGAGCCGGCUCACAGGGUCCCGCCAGUGACAAAGCCUGUACCGUGGUCUGCCUGCCCAUCGCCCAAAGCAUGGUGGUGAGACUCUCCCAGGCAACCUGCGUCAGGUGCUGGAUCACACGGCUCCCACGGACGCACGUAAGUUUGGAGAUGGAAGCUGAAUUUUAGUUGUUAAAGGAAAUACCUUUUUUUAUGUGUAUUUAUUUUUUAGAGACCUGGAGUGCAAGUGGGGGAGGGUCAGAGAGAGGGAGACACAGAACCCGAAGCAGCUCCAGGCUCCGAGCUGUCAGCACAGAGCCCGAUGCGGGGCUCGAGCUCACAAACCGUGAGAUCAUGACCUUACUCGAAGUCGGACGCUUAACCGACCGAGCCAUCUAGGCGCCCCAGUUGUUAAAGGAGCUUAUCGACAGCUGCCGCGAUGCUGUCGUCACUCUGAUGGACGCUAAUUAAGCUCGCGCUAAUCAUCCCGCAAUAUAUAUGGGCUUCACAUCGUCACUGUACGCCUUAAACUUAGAUGUAAUGUGUCAGUUACGUCUCAAAGUUGGAAAAAGCAAUUUGAACCGGGCUCUUUAAUUCCCAGGUACGUAUAUCUGAGCCGGGAGUCUCCCUUAUGCCCCAAGCGUGUCCAUACUAAUCUGCGGGCUCCGACUCCCCAGGUGUGUCCGCCCUCGCAUGGCAGGCAGCCUCCCUAACUCAGUGCCUCUUCUGGGAAGUGGACCGCUCUCCCCAGGUGUGUCUCCGACCGGGAAUAUUUCCCCAGCACUCGAGGUGCUCUUGCCCCGAACAGCAGUGUCUAAUUCUCCAAAUGUGUCUCCUUGGACACACAGAGUCUUGCUAAGUGUACAGGUAGGUCUCCGUGAACCUAGGGCGUCCCCUCUGAGUCGAAGUGAUUCGUUGUCCUCCGGGCGUAUCUACAGCGACCUGAGGUCCACACACUGACACGGCACGUUUCCCUAAUUUCCCAGGUGUGUCUCCUCUGCCCUGGAUACUUCUCUCUUUGAGCUUAUUUACCCCAAGGGGAAACCGCCUAGCUCCCUGGGUUUAUCUACUCUGUGACGUGAUAAUGCAGACGUGCCUAUCCUUACCUAAGAUGUCUCCCUAAUACCCCAAGUAGGUCUACACACCGUUAGGAUGUCUCCUUAAAUCCCAGUGUGUUUUCUCUGGCAACCCUGGAUGUCUCUGUAAUUGUCCAGGUGCAUCUCCAUUGAACUGGGAUGUCUCCCUUCUAGCCAGGUGCCUGCUCUACCUGGGACACCCUAACUCCCCAGGCAUGUAUUGAGGGACCCGGGGGGCCGCCCUACUUCCCCAGGUAUGUGCCACAGCCUGAUUCCAAUUUCCCAGGUACGUGUCCCCUGACCCGGGACAUCUCUUUACUUCCGUCGAUCUGUCCACCCAGACGUGGGAUGUGUGCCUGACUCAAGUGUGUCUGCUCUGAACUGGGAUGUCUCCCUAUUUCCAUAGCUGAGUCUGUUUUGAUCUUGAUGUUUCCUUAAUUCUGCAUUAUGUGUCUAACUUGACCUGGAUGUCUGCCCAAUUCCCCUUUUGUGUCUUCACCGAACUAGAUUUCUAAUGCCCUAGGUUUAUCUACCCAGACAUGAAAUGCUGCCACCGAUUCCCAGGUGUUUUUCCUCUGACCUAGGAUAUGUUCCUUAUUCUCCAGGGUGGCUUUCCCUUACCGGGAUGUCUCCCUAGUCCCCAUGUGUACGUGCUCACACCUGGGCUCUCUCUUACUUCCCGAGUGCACACACUGAUCUGUCUGCCGAAUUCCAUAGGUGUUGACCCUGACCUGAGACGUUUCUCUUAUUCCAUGGAUGUGUUUUCUGUCUUGGGAUUUCUUACUAAUUCCCCCAUGUGUUUACCAUGACUUAGGAUGUUUCUCUACCCAGAUGCUUCUACUCUGACCUGAGUGUCUGACUUCCGAUGUCUCAAAGUAACCCAGAGUUCUACCCUGACCUGGGAUGUCCUGCAAGCUCCCCAGAGUCAGAAGAUAAUUCUCCAAAUGUGCCAACGGUCAAGUGGAAUGCUUCUUAUUCCCCAUGGGAAUGGGCUGCACUGACAUGGGAUGUCUCAUUAGAACCCCAAGGAACUCAGACUAUGAGAUCGUGACCUGAGCCGAAUUCGGACACCGAACCAGCUGACCCACUCAGGCGCCCUGGUUGUUAAAGGAGGUACCUUAUGCUGCCAUGAUGCCGGUGUCACUCUGGACACUGAUUUUGUAUCUUGUACCCUUACUGGAUUCACUUAUCAGUUCUAAGUUUUCCUGUGGAGUCUGUAGUGUUUUCUCUAUAUAGUAUCGUGUCGUCUGCGUAGUGAAAGUUCCACUUCUUCCUUGCCUUUUAUUCCUUUGUCUUGUCUGAUUGCUGUGUCCUCCUUCAUUGGGAUUUUAAUAUCAGCUUCCAAUUUGGCCAACUUCUGAUCUUGGAGCUCAUUAUAAAAAUCCUUCCAAAUAUCUUAUUUGUAGGUUUUAGCGGAGAUAAACAGUAAAUAUUCCUGGCAAUAGUACACUUUUUUUUUUUUUUGGCUUCUUUUAAACUAAAGGUAGAUCAAGUUGCUCAAGCAAAACUAAUAAGCCUUUUAUGACAUAUCCACGGACUCGAGAUGUAUGUCCUAGGAGGGUGCAAAAGAUUUAGUCUUCCCAAGAUCCAGAACUACUCCCAAAGAUAGGCAAGAUCGAGAAAGUUCCCCUGAGAGCUGGCAACAGUCAGUAGGAUGGCAGCCACAAAGGGGGUGCAACCCGUAUCUCAGGCCAGCCAUAUUCUCGGGGCCCCUGACCUUCACUUACAAGAAUGCACAGCCUGCAAGCCCCAGGCAGGCAGCCAAGCCAGAGGCCCGGGACACACAGCAAGACAAAUAGGAAAGCAGGAACUGUCCCUGGGAGGGAGAGGGUCAGUGACCAGAGGGGAUCCCCAAACCAAAUUCACAACAGUCUGGAUUUGAAAGGGAAGAGACAACAUGAAACUUGACCCCACUCUCUUUGCCGGCCUCUCCGCUUCCUCAGGGUCCUGCGUGUAGGCUCCGGAGUGGGUGCGGUGUCCCAGUGGGUCUCGUCUGGGUCACCAGAGACUGUAGAUGAGGAAAAAUUAAUUUUCCCUCUGCCCUUUCUAGUGCGUUCUUGGCUGAGAACUUGUAACUGGACAAGCUGGUCUAGGUCACAGGUUUCCGACCAUGGCCGCUGUGAUUCAGAGCUGCCCUCAGAUGCUGCCAUUUCUGCCACUGUGUAUGCGCUCCGGAACCCCACUUCCCAUAUAAAGAGCUGGGGCACAAGAAUAUGGAGCUCUCAGCUCUCUAGAACUUUAGGUCUCAUGUCUCCUCGGUGUCUGUCUGGCAGAUCUGUCGCUCUUACCUUAGGGUCACACCAAGACCGCCAGUAGUUCCCCAAGUGGAAUGGUGGGCCCACCAGCAGAACCCAACACGUCAAGACUGUGGAUAACGCAGGGCUUAGGGGCUUCGGGUCCAUGUAGAACCACCUGCCAGCUCCAGCUGGCCCACUAAAUCCUGGCCAGGAAAAGCCCAUCAGACCCGGGAGCUCAAACGCAAACAGAGUAGAACUCAGAUCCAAGAGGAACUUCCCCGCGGCUGUGGAAACAUGAGAAAGACCAAGAACUCAAAAGGGCUCAGCAGGCACCCAUGCCCACGUUUCUUGUCAUCCCCAAAGCCAUUAGCAGUCUUUGAAUCCCAUCCUUGUCAUCAACACUAUUAAAAUUUUGGGGGCGCCUGGGUGGCUCAGUUAAGCAUCUGACUUCAGGUCAUGAUCUCCCUGUUCGUGGGUUCAAGCCCCGCAUCGGGCUCUGUGCUGACAGCUCAGAGCCUGGAGCCUGCUUCGGAGUCUGUGCCUCUCUCUCAGAGAAAACAUUUUCUAGUCAACUUACGGAUCUAGCUGGCUUCUAUUUAGUAAUUCAUGAGUCGGGCAGCAUGCAACCUAGCGAUAGAAAGGAGCACCAAAGAGCUGCACGACGCACGAGAUUCUUACCACGUGAGCAGGAACGGGCAGAUUCGCUGGGCAUCUGCUGAUGGGUAAGCAUGGUUACUCUUGUUAUCUGGGCCCCAGGGAAGUCUCGGAGCAGGUCGGGUACCUUGUGCGGAGCAGGUGAGAGCUGACUGGCUGACCUAGGCCUUCCUCUUCUGGGAGAGCAGAGCAUAGAAACGUAAGUUUUGGUUUGCUGACAUGGGGCUUAACGUUAGUGACUCUGUUUUGGACGUAAUCUGGUUACUUUAACGACGUUGACGUGAACUACAUCCAUAGUAGUUCCCUAAGCGUGGUGGCCCUGAUCUGGAUUGUAUCUCAAGUUCCUCUGGGAAGUAUACCUGAGCUGGGAUGUCUCCUGACAUCCAGGUCUAACCUGAUCUAGUGUAUGUCCCUAGUCACUGAGGGCGUGUAUACUGACAGUGGGUGUCUCCCAGUUCUCCAGGUUGGACUGCCCCGACGUUGGAAGUCUGCCAAUUUUCCCGUGGGUCUACACUGAUCAAGGAUAUUCCCCUAAAUCUCUAGGUGUUGACCUGGGAUGUGUAAUUCCUCCUCCGUGUGUCCACUGACUUGAGAGGUCUCGUGUUUAUUGGUACCACUCUGGAAGUCCCCUCUGCUCUGUUGUAUUCUGACGCAGCACGUCUGCUUACUCCCCCAAGUCCGCCUACCCUGACAUUCAGGGUCUCCACGACUCCUGAGAUGUGAUCUCAGCUCACCUGGACCACUGACUAGUUCCCCAGAUGUGUCUACAAAAAGCGGUAUUUUAUUGUAAUAUACCAGUUAUGUCUACGCUGACCUGAGCGGUCUUAAUUCCCCAAAUGUGUCAACACUGACCUAGUAUGAUUCCAUAGAUUCCCAGCUGUGUCUGCCUCGACAUUGGAUGUCUCCACUUGACCUGCUGUGACUACCUAGUAUCUCAGGCAUGUCCACUCUGACCCGGAACAUCUAACGCCUCAGGCGCGGCCACUUUGCCCUGGAGCCUCCCUGGUUCCCCAGUUGGGCCUGCCGUAAUCUGAGAUGUCAAACUCAGACGUGUCUACUCAUACCUGGGAUGUCUAAUCCACAGAUGUGUCCACGCUGAACAGGGAUGGCUUUCUAAAACCCCAGCUGUGUCUAUCCUGACCCGGGAUGUGUCCCAAAUUUUCAAGGAGUGUCUGCUUUGAGCUAGGAUGUCUCAUUCUCCAGAUUCCUCUCUCUGGACCUUGAACGUCUCUGUUCUUCAGGACUGUCCAGCGUUAUCCUGGGACGUAUGCCUUUGUCCUUCGCCGUGUCUACUGCAAAUCUGGAGGUCUCGUUCCUCAGGUGUUCUGAUCUGUGAUGUCUCUAAGUCCCCAGGCGUGUCUGCAUUGAUUACAGUGACCCUUUAAUGCACCAGGUAUGUCUACCCUUACCGGGAUAUCUGUUUAAUAACUCAGAUGUGUCUACACAGAUGGGGCAUGUCUACUUUCUUACAAAGCGCUGUCUGUCCCUGUCCCAGCAGGAAAUACAGCACCCGGAGGUUCAGAGGAAGACACAAGACAUGUGACAGAAGGGGCUCCUUUCAGAGGAUCCAGCAGAGAAGUUAGGAAACCAGAGAGGAGCCCCCGGGAGCUGUUCCCCUGGGCCUGAGAGGCAGGGAAGGGACAGCGCUGCAAGGUCUGGAGAGAUGGCAGGGCUCACAGGCUCGGUGGCCCUGGGCUGUUGACCAGAGUUCCUGCCCCUGGCACAGCCAGCAGGGAUGGCCCAGCCUCUCUCCCCACCCGCAGCUCUGGGGGCCCCCGCGGGUGGGGCUUGACCACAAGGCAGGAUGUGGGAGCCCCGGCCACACGGCCCGCAGGUCAAGGCGCGGGGAGGGAGUGGGGUGAACACGGGGGACAGUGGAUCCGGGGCGACAGAGGGUGUGCUGCACGAGAGCCACCUGGACACACCCGAGCUCUCACCUGAGGGUGCCACACCUGGACGCUCUGGAACGGUCGCGGGCUCGUCAACGCUGGACUCCGUCCACCGGGCAACCACCAGGGUCCCCUCGGGGGGGGGUGAGGGGGUGGCGGUAGGGGGGGCGCAAGCUCUGGUCCCCACCGCCCCGCCUGGCUGCCCCGUCCUGUGUCCCGACGGCCCUCUGCCACCCGAGGCUCCGCAUUGCUGCGCGAUGUGGAAGGACGACACGGCACGGAGGUGGGGAAUCUGACUCUCCCCUCAAACUGCCCUGGUUCCACUGAGACCAGCAGUAAAGAGGAAGCGCAAUAAUAAACCUGCCCGCGGGAAACCAAUAAGAAGCAGGGCCUCGUGCCUUUGGCAAGAGGAGCCCAGAAAUGCAGUAACUUUUUGCCUUAACUUCCCCUGCACAGGCUCCCGUGAAGCAUUAUCUGCUCAGAUCCCAAGAUGAGCCAUUACGAGAGUCUGCUGCUUGAGCGGAACGCCUCUGGUCUGCAGAGAAACGUAGUUUUGCAAAGCGCCAGAUCUCAAGACCUGGGGCUGGGCCGCUCGCCAGGGGCGGGAGGCCGGCCCCCCAGGGAGAGACGGGGUCGGGGAAGGGACCCCGCCGCAGAGCUGACCGCACGAGCAGGCGCAGGUGGCCGUGGUCUCCCCCGGGCGGGCCGAUGCUGGGGAGGCCACACGGGGGUCACUUGUCCCUCGCGGCCGCCGUGCUCACGAACCACGAGUACCUCGUAAACCCCUAGGAGUGGGAUCGCUGGGCCACAUGGGUCUUUCCGAGACUCCCCUGUGUUUCCGUGGGGGAUGCUUGUCUCCCACGCCCACCGCAACACGCUCGGCCAUCGGCGUCACAACCUGGGCGUCACGUCCUGGCCGACGCUCGCUGUGCUGCGCUUCUGAUGGCUGCGGGACCUCGCGAUUGUCCUGUGUCCCCUGGUGAGGAGCGAGGGGAGUUCCAGUCGGGCGCUGACCGGCCAUCUGUGCGUCGUCUCUGGAGACAGACUUGGCCCAUUUUUUAAUGGGAUGGUUCCUUUGUCGCUGAGCAGUUUUUACAGAUCCUGGGUGUCAGCCCCUCAUCAGGUGAGGGAGACAUUUCUCCCAUUCUGUGGGCUGUCUUUAACUCCCCUGAUGGGGCCCUCUGAUGCCCCAAAGUGCUUCCUUUUGUAAAAGUCCAAUUUAUCUGCUUUUCUAGUUGCCUGUGCUUUGGGUGUUAGAGCCAAUAAAUCACCACAAAUGCAACGUCCUGAA
Felis catus (domestic cat) is the source of this 9365-nucleotide long non-coding RNA. RefSeq lists it as uncharacterized. NCBI's taxonomy places the organism in Eukaryota, Metazoa, Chordata, Mammalia, Carnivora, Felidae. The transcript has 11 exons. The record is from RefSeq and is a predicted model, not a curated record.